Molecule: ribosomal RNA, 257 nt
Filed under: uncultured bacterium
Lineage: Bacteria
Description: partial small subunit ribosomal RNA
Rfam family: Bacterial small subunit ribosomal RNA
Source: RNAcentral
AGGACGAACGCUGGCGGCGUGCUUAACACAUGCAAGUCGAGCGGAAAGGCCCUUCGGGGUACUCGAGCGGCGAACGGGUGAGUAACACGUGAGCAACCUGCCCUUGGCUCUGGGAUAGCCUCCGGAAACGGGGAUUAAUACCGGACAUUCACUUUCUCCUGCAUGGGGGGUUGGUGGAAAGUUUUUCGGCCAGGGAGGGGCUCGCGGCCUAUCAGCUUGUUGGCGGGGUAACGGCCCACCAAGGCGACGACGGGUAG